UUGCGGUCGUACUCCCCAGGCGGUGUGCUUAAUGCUUUCGCUGCGACACUGAAAACUAAGUUCCCAACGUCUAGCACACAUCGUUACGGCAUGGACUACGAGGGUAUCUAAUCCUCUUCGCUACCCAUGCUUUCGUUCCUCAGUGUCAGUAAUGAUCCAGAAAGUUGCCUUCGCUUUUGAUGUUCUUUCUAAUAUCUACGAAUUUCACCUCUACACUAGAAAUUCCACUUUCCUCUAUCAUACUCUAGCUAAAAAGUUUUGAUGGCAGUUCCAAGGUUGAGCCUUGGGAUUUCACCAUCAACUUUUUUAACCACCUACGAACUCUUUAAGCCCAGUAAUUCCGAACUACGCUAGGUCCCUUCGUAUUACCGCGGCUGCUGGCACGAAGUUAGCCGGACCUUCUUAUUCGGGUACAGUCAUUUUCUUCCCCGACGAAAGAGUUUUACAACCCAAAGGCCUUCUUCACUCACGCGGCAUCGCUGCAUCAGGGUUUCCCCCAUUGUGCAAGAUUCCCCACUGCUGCCUCCCGUAGGAGUUUGGGCCGUGUCUCAGUCCCAAUGUGGCUGGUCUUCCUCAAAGAACAGCUAUUGAUCGUAGCCUUGGUAAGCUAUUACCUUACCAACUAGCUAAUCAAGUGCGGGCUCAUCUUUUGGCAUUAAAACUUUCCCUGUGAAGGCUUAUCCGGUAUUAGCACAAGUUUCCUCGUGUUAUUCCAGACCAAAAGGCAGAUUCCCACAUUAUACUCACCCGUUUGCCACUCAGUAUUGCUACUGCGUUCGACUUGCAUGUGUUAGGCGUGCCGCCAGCGUACGUUCUGAGCCAGGAUCAAACUCU
Molecule: ribosomal RNA, 834 nt
Filed under: uncultured bacterium
Lineage: Bacteria
Description: partial 16S ribosomal RNA
Source: RNAcentral